UGAUUUCAUACGACGUUCAUAUCGGAAAUGUUCCUAAUUUUAGUAUAAUAUGUAUAUCCUACAUACAGUUACUCAAACAAGUGUUCACAUGGUUUUACAACAUUAUCAUUGUUCUCUAUUUGAGCAGCAAAACACGUGAGUGCAAGAAAAUAGAUUUUCUCUUGAUGGCGUUUUGUGGGUAUGACAGUGGUCUAAUUAUGUUCAUCUACGAACUGGUCACCUUUUUCCGGACGGACAGACAGUCAGUCGAUUUUCAACUCGUCUCGUCAUCCUGCACAUUUAUGUAUGUAUAUACAACCCUAUAUAUCGGGUCAUCCAAUAAUAUUUACAAUCUCAUCAUAGAAAGAUAUACAGGUCGUACCUGGAGAGCUUUUCUCAGAGUUGUCUAUCCACCAAUUUUUCAGAGAACGAAGCGAAAAACACCAUCGUUUUUUUACCCACCCUAGAGUAUAUAUGUAUGUAUGUGUUCAUUUAUUUAUUUAAAAAACAUGUACGUGCCAAACAAAUUAUUUUUUAUUUCUCGUCUACAUAGGUGAGUAGGUCUGUAUAUGAACGUAAAAACACAGCACAAAGAUAUUUAUAUGUAUCACACAUACGUUUUUAGUAUUUGUACAACUGUAAUGUUAUGUACAUACAUACAUAUAUUAAUAUACUUGUAUAAGCAUAAUAUAAUGAAGUUAUUAUGUAUAGAUGAUUUAAAUGCAAAAACAUACUACUUACAAGCUCUGAAACGAGUGGAAUGGAUUUCCGACGAGGACGUAUAUCUGGCAUGCUGUCAAUGUUACUGUAGAAUGGAUUGUCUCCCGGGUGCCCGCUACCCCGUAUGCCAAUAUCACCAGGUCCACUGCCAUUCUUUAUUGUAUGGAAAAUAAAUGAAGUUUACUUAGUAGUGUAUCAAUAUAUUUUGAAAACUAUUGUUAUAAUUUUUUUAUAUAAACAUGUAGUUUAUAGAGUAA
Molecule: long non-coding RNA, 956 nt
Organism: Bactrocera dorsalis (oriental fruit fly)
Lineage: Eukaryota; Metazoa; Arthropoda; Insecta; Diptera; Tephritidae
Exons: 3
Source: RefSeq, a predicted model, not a curated record